Molecule: ribosomal RNA, 406 nt
Filed under: uncultured bacterium
Lineage: Bacteria
Description: partial 16S ribosomal RNA
Rfam family: Bacterial small subunit ribosomal RNA
Source: RNAcentral
AUUGAACGCUGGCGGCAGGCUUAACACAUGCAAGUCGAGCGAGCGGCGGACGGGUGAGUAAUGUCUGGGAAACUGCCUGUUGGAGGGGGAUAACUACUGGAAACGGUAGCUAAUACCGCAUACCAUCAGAUGUGCCCAGAUGGGAUUAGCUAGUAGGUGGGGUAAUUGCUAACCUAGGCGACGAUCCCUAGCUGGUCUGAGGGGAUGACCAGCCACACUGGAACGGAUAAACGGUCCAGACUCCUACGGGAGGCAGCAGGGGGGAAUAUUGCACAAUGGGUGCAAGCCUGAUGCAGCCAUGCCGCGUGUGUGAAGAGGGCCUUCGGGUUGUAAAGCACUUUAAGAGAGGAGGCGUUACUCGCAGAAGAAGCACCGGCUGACGCCGUGCCAGCAGCCGCGGUAAUUC